Long non-coding RNA from Parus major (Great Tit), 1372 nucleotides. RefSeq lists it as uncharacterized. NCBI's taxonomy places the organism in Eukaryota, Metazoa, Chordata, Aves, Passeriformes, Paridae. The transcript is spliced from 3 exons. The record is from RefSeq and is a predicted model, not a curated record.
UGAUGCAGGCAGGUUCAUCUGUGGGUCUGGAGGCCCUUAGCUGCCCCCACAGCACAGGCUGACCAUGAGUGACAAGGUGAUGUGGUGGCAGGGGCAUUGCAGCUGGGUUGGUGCCCUGGGGAGAUGGUCCCACGGUGGGAGAGCAGGCAGGGGGUGGCCACUGCCAGGGGAGGGGUUGGUGGCCACAGCCUGUUAUUCAUUCUCUGGGAGAAAACCUUUGGACUGUGGAAGGUUCCAGGCUCAGGGAAGGCAGGGGCAAAGGCAGAGUCCAGGCUGGGCUCUGUCUGUCUGGCCUCCCUGAGCCCUGAGAGGACUGCCAGGCUGGGGACACCUGCGGCUGGAGACACUGCCCAGGGGCCUGUGCAGGGGCAGCAGGACAGACGGACAUGGAGAGUUUGUGGGGAAGGUUGAGGUCUAACAGAUUCCACAGAUGAUGCCUCGUUGGCAUGGAUGGAGUCUGGUUGGGAGGGCCUCUGGGCUGAGAGCCGAGAUGUGGUGUGCCCUGUACCUUCAGAAGCCGGAUCCCAGUCCAGACCCACCCCGACCUUGCUCUGACCAUGUGAACUCUGGGUCUCCAGGUCGAGGUGCCUUGGGACACCCAAAAAGAUUCUGUCCCCAGCGCUGUUAUAUGCUGCUGAAUGCAGUCAUAAAGAAUAGGACUUACUUCUUUAUUUAAAGUGGUGUCUUUAUGUGUUUGCCGUGCAGGUAACAUUCCCGUGUCUGCUGUACCCUUCCCUGGCCAGGGAGCAGAUUGGGAAGGUGCCACUGGCACUGCAGGGGCUGACACACAGCAGUGCCUGCGGCAGCAGCGCUGGCAGGACUGCGCCGUGCCCUUUGUGCCCAGCUGGGCUCGUGGUGUCCAUGGGAUGACAGAGAGCCUCUGAUGUCCCGCUGAUGGCUCGGUCUGUCCCGGCAAGGCGCUGCCUCCUCCCUGCCGGGCCCCGCUGUGCCCGGGCACCGCCUCGCUGCAGCCGGGCCCGCCGAGCUCCGGCCACCGAGCAGCUGCUGCUUGGCCGUGACCGUGUUCGGCUGUUUCUGGGCUGCCGCAUGAGCCGGGUCUCAGGACCUGUUUGCCGGGAUGGGUGGGAGCCCAGCGCAUCCCCCCGUGCCGCCCGCCCUGCCCCGCUCCGGGCUGCGCAGGGAGCGCUUCUGCUUUCGGACUGCGAGCGUGCCAGGGAUGUGCCCGGCAUCACACGGAGCGGCAGAAACAGACCCGGGUGUGCAUCUCCAGAGAGGGUCGUUCCAGGCUGUUUUACCCACUCCUUACAGGAUCAGCCCAGCAGUUCCUUCUGUCCUUAAUGCUGAAGCUAUGCAGCCCCUUGCCAGUGGCUGUGCCCCCGCCCCGCUGCCGGCUCUCCCAGCUGGCAGAAGG